CAAAAUCAGCAGGUCAGGCUUUUUAAAGAUCGGUAACCAGGGAUCAGCCAGAAAACUGCAGUUGGUGCAGCCAAACUUAAGAUGGAAUACAUACACACACAUUCAUGACAUUCUUUGAUUAAAUACAUUUCUCUUAAGCGUUACUCAAAUACCUAAAACUUUUAUUUAUACUGGUUGAGUCUUUCUCCUCUGAGAAUGUGGAUUUGAACUGGACUGAUUCUGAGUCUUCAAAUGAUUUUAACAUAAGUUUCACAUAACUUAGAAUUGAUGUAAAAAUAAUGUUUGUUUAAAGCCACAAAAUGAUUUUGCUCAGCAACAAACAACAAAUCACCAACUACAGCUUAGAGCAGCUCAUCGAUGUAGCAGCCAUGUAGCCUGACGUAAAAAAAACAUUUUGCUAGACAAUGUCAAACAUUGAGAAGUUUUAAUUAUGAAAUAUGAAUAUGAAACGUUAUCAAACACGCUUUUUUCAAGCCAAAAAUACCUCAGAAAUAUACCAUGAGAAUUGACUCAUUAAAAGUUUAAACUCAGUUUCAUACUCAAGUAAAUGUAACUGUUACUACGCAACUCUGCAGGGUCAAAGUUCUUCUGGACAACGCAGCUCAAGCUGGACCAGUCAGUCGGUCGGUCAGGGUGCUAACAGCUGCUAACUGAGCGCUGCUCCAACCUGAUCACGACGUUUUCUGUCGGGCUCGAUUUAAACUGAUGGAGUCGAUGAAAAGAGAAGAGAUUCUGACCACCAUCCUGGACUGACCUCAUUUGGCCCAAGGUCACGUUCACUGCAAUACCGUGAAUGGAGGAUUCUAUGCAGCCAGCAGGAGAAAAGUGUCAGCUGACAGAUUAUUAGGCGCAACCAAACUGCAUGUCAGGAACUCCAGGCAGAUUUUACCACUUAUUCAUCUCAUCGGCCGAACAAAAGAGUUUCUAUAAACUGGGCGAAGGAAAAAAACAUUUUCAGAGACGGACUGAUCACGUCCGUCACACUUGUCAGAGUUAGGAAUUAAACUCUAGUAAUCAGAAUCAAACACUCUGACUUCUUGUCACAGUUUUUUGUUGUUUCUUGAAGGCGUGUGUGAGGGGAAUGAAAAAGUUAAAAUUUUACUUAUAUGGACCUGAUCAUUUAAUUUCCCUUCGAGAUCAAUAAACUACUUUUAGAAUUUGAAUUUGAUUUAGAAUUGUUUUAUUUCGUCACAUUCUUGCUCUAUUUUAUUUUUAUGACCUGAACAGAUGGAAAAAAGGGAUCCAUUUGUCCACGUUGGAUUAAACGAAGCUGUCUCCGUUAUUUUUCCUGCAUUAUUUACAAACUUUUUUGUGGAGAUUAAAAAGGCAAACUCUAUAGGAAAUAGAGUUUCCUAUAGACCACAAUUAAAAAUAAAUAAAUAAAUUAGCUGUGUCUGUGCUUUCCAGCAGUUUUUGUAGAAUUUACUUUGUGAAUGAUCAAUAAAUCGUUUCAGAAAUUCAAAUCAGCUCAUUCAGAGAGAAACUGUUGGGUCCAAACACAGGAAAAUCUUAGUCUGAAUCUGGGUCGCUGGCUUAUUACUGACUCAUAAGGCCAUCGGAGUAUUAAAAUCAGGCCUGUUGCUGUGUUGGGGAUGAUGUUUACAAUCUUUGCAACGCCCACACAAAGCAGCAGCCUAGAAAUACACCAACCCUGUGAAUGUAAUCAAACCUGGACGGCAGGAUCAGUGGAAAGCCUUCCUGCUUCUCACCAGGCGAAAACUUCAAACUCCAAACAGAUAGCAAGAGAAAUACUCCAUACCAUUUUAAUACCCUAGCAACUUUAUUUUGGAGACACUGGGUUCAUUCUAGUUAAGAGCAAAAAAUAUGAUUAAUUACAAUAUGACAAAAUUCCUUUAUUAGGGCAAAACAAAUACUAAUGUGACACAAGACCAUAGGGAUAUUUUCUUGUGUUGCCCCCUUACUGUACAGUCUCUAGUUUUGUCUUAUAAAUACAUUUAUAUAUAAUUAUAUAAGACAUGGGAACUCCACAUGCUGUGUAGCGAUGCGCCGAUGCACUUUUUUCACUACCGAUACCUGAGGUUUAGUAUCCGCAGAAAUAUUUAGCGAUAUUAUACAUAUUUUACUGCCUUUUCAACACCUUUGGAAAAAACCUGGCCAGAAACAGAUAAAAAUAAAUGUUGUUUGUUUAUAUUGGGCCGAUACCGAUAUAUUAAAAAAUGACUAAUAUCGGCCAGUACCGAUCUCGGUGCCGAUAUGGAGUUCAUCCCUACUUAAAACGUUUCCGUUUUUUCAAACACAGACAUAAAGGUACUGAAGUGCGAAUCAAUUUGAUAACUCUGCGCCAGUACAGCAAACUGAAACACACCAACAGCUUUACAAGCUCAAACACGUAAAAACAACUUUCAUUUGCUCAGUCACUGCAUUUAGGAGAAGAACAGCCAAUGUACAAUAAAAAAUAAAGAAACCGACAAAUAUUGUUUGACAAAUGCUUCCAAAGAAUUUCUCUGUGGAGGAUUUUCUGUAAGCCUGCAGGCGGCGAUGCAGUGAGCUUUGCAGGCCAUGGACUUCCCACUAGAGACCCACCAAUCUGAUAUUAAUAUAUUUUUUUCAGCAGCUAUCCGAUAUUUUAAAAAUUCCCGAUCGGUUACCAGUGACAACGUGCCUGAUGCAUAAGGACAGACCUGUUGAAUCUACUGCUAUUCUUUGUGCUUUGUUAUUUAUUCUACGUUAUAUUUAGAAAUCCUAAUUGCACUUUCUGAGCCAUUGGAAAUAAUUUAUUUGCACAUGUUUGCCCAAAGUAAUCAAACUAUUGUUUAUGCUGAAAGAACACAAACCUCAAUUCUCCUGCAAAAUACAUUUGUAGCAAACAAUCUGCUGAUGGCGUGCAAAAUACGAGCCAAUCAGACGCCUGUAAACAUACAGAGAUCCUCUCAGACAGCGACGGAGGCCAGAAUCUCAAGAUAAACUUCAUAUUCUCUGUUUUAAAACAACGAUGAAAACAUGUUUCUCUGUCCGAGGAGUGAAACUGUGAAACAGUCUCAGUGAAGUCCAGGGUACUCCAAACAUCACUCGCUUUAAAAAGUUUAGAUAUUUCACUGGAACUAUAUUUAGCUCAGGCUCUCACUUAUUUAGUGGUCAUGUGUUUUGUAAUGUAUUUUUUAAAUGCACGUAUUUGAACAUUAAUAUCAUAUCUUUGUCUCUACUCUCUCAACUAUUUCUCAAUCUGCGUCCCGCAAACGCACCGGAGGACGGACACAACGGACAGGAUCCCUACCCAGCUUGAAGAGCAAAUUGUUACAGAAUGUUUCCAGUAGCGAUGUGCGGAUUGAAAUCGAAACAUAAAGAUUUAUAUGCUUUACGAUCGAUUCUCAAAUCCAAGCAUCAACACUUCAGUCAUUUUAGAUAAUGUAGCUGAACAAGAACACGUCAGAAAGAGACUAAAUUAUUGAGAUUUUGCCUAAAUGACACAGGGUUGACAUGGAACUACUUUUUCUUCUGCCUGGUAAGAGUGUAGUACAUAUUUUGCUCAGUCAGUCAAUCUGUUUCAGCUUUCAUUUUAUAGUAGUUCUUAAAAAUUACUCAAGGAUAUACAGUAUAUCAGUGGGGUUAUUACUUUACCAUUAUUAUUUUUUGAGUUUGCAACAUUUUCACAUAUCUUGUAUGAUUUUUGCUGUAGUUAAAAUAGCAGCUUUAGGAAAUGACCCUGUUAUCUCAAAGUACUUCUGAGACUAAAAUGAAUAAAUUAGAGGUGAUGUCUGUCGCUCUUCUAAGGAAGCUAUGCUUUGAAAUACAACAAAUACUGUUAGAUCUAACAGGCAAACUAAGUGUUUUUGCACAAAGUAUCGGAUCGGUAUCGCUGAAAAAACUUUCAUUUUUCUCGGUAUUGGAUCGGAAAGGAAAUUGAUGGAAUCGAACAACGCUAGAUUCCGGCGUUUUGUGGUCAACAAGCCUGACGCCGGCAAACAUGUCGACCAAAGCUGACCAGUCGCAGGAAGGGAAGUACGAACAACGCAGGAGUCACACCGUCACUAGCGCUGACGCUAACGGCGGCGACAAAACGUGCUCACAGACCUAAUAGAAGUCAGACAUGACGCCUUCGAG
Long non-coding RNA from Xiphophorus couchianus (Monterrey platyfish), 4062 nucleotides. RefSeq lists it as uncharacterized. The record is from RefSeq and is a predicted model, not a curated record. The transcript has 3 exons. Lineage: Eukaryota; Metazoa; Chordata; Actinopteri; Cyprinodontiformes; Poeciliidae.